CACAUGAAAAGCCCUUUGCCUUCCAGGGUUUCCAUCUGCUGAAUUACAACUCAGCAGCAGGAGCCCUGAAGGAGAUGUCUGCAGGUUCCUGCUGAUCAGCCCUGAGACACUGCAGUCUGCAACACUUUGUAAGGUGCUGAACUCAAACAUAUAUGUGGGCUCUAUAGCAGCAGGACCGUCAGAGAGAGAGUCAAUGAAGACAGCAACCACCAGAGCAGACUGCAGAAAAUGAAGUGAUCUACGUGACUUGGGGCUCAAAAUGUCCAGAACAUCUCUCAGCGGGCCUCUCCUCUUGAUAGAUGGUAAUGUCAGGCUGAUAAAUUAGCUGUGCAGCAAGUAUUUUUCACUCCUUCCUCUUCAGAAGUAGAGACUGGAAUGGAAGACAACUAUCACAAGCACAAAAAUCCAGAGGUAAAGCAGCAGCAGGCUCAAAGAGGGACUUCAGUGGUGGUGAGAGCACAGCUGUUGCUAGACUUGUUUUGCUGAGGAACUACUUGAAUAACACACAGUAGCACAGCUCCUUUCUGCUUUAUUUUGCUUGUGAAAACUGUAGCUACAAUUGCCUUUUUAUUUUUUUUUUUUUAACCUGAGCAGUGUUGUUCCAGCAGAUAAGAGCGUUCAAAUGUCUUGCUGUGGAGGUUUUUUUUUUUAUAAAUCCCGUUUCCUCUUCUUUCUGAACAAACUUUAGUGGGUUUGCUUUGGCCUCUGGUGGAUGCUAGUCCAUGUCAAAAAACUCUGCCCAUAAAUCAUCACAAGCAGUACCUUCUCCCAGCCUCCCUCUCAGGUGCACUGCACAAUAUGUUCUGUACAAAGAAUAGCAGGUGAUGUUCUGGAUUCUAGAUAGUGAUAAAUUACAUACUUAUUUUCCCAAAAUUUGUAAGCAACUUAAUGUCAGAUCACACUUAAAUGUAAAUAUCAACAAUCUUAAGGAACAGCCUUAUCAAUUCCGGCUAAAUACAAAUUCAAAUCCUUGUGGCUCUUUCAGCUUCUAACUGUUCAUUCAGUUGGUAUCUUUGGACAUAGAAUUUAAGAAACAGCAUUAGAAAAUAUGUUUUACUGAAAUGUCAUAUAAUAGCUGUUCUUUAAUUGCUUUGGAGAGAGGGACUGCAGUGUUUGUAUCAUCAUUAGGUAAUUUUAAUGCACACAUUGAAUUCUCGACUUUGGAGUCAUGCAUAUAUAGUAAAUAAUAAACAGUGGGUUUAUUUUUCGUUGGUCA
Long non-coding RNA from Passer domesticus (house sparrow), 1216 nucleotides. RefSeq lists it as uncharacterized. The transcript has 4 exons. The record is from RefSeq and is a predicted model, not a curated record. Lineage: Eukaryota; Metazoa; Chordata; Aves; Passeriformes; Passeridae.